ACAGCAGCCGCGGUAACACGUAGGCACCAAGCGUUGUCCGGAUUUAUUGGGCGUAAAGAGCUCGUAGGCGGUUCGGUAAGUCAGGUGUGAAAUCUGUGGGCUUAACCCACAGCGUGCAUCUGAUACUGCUGUGACUAGAGUUCGGUAGGGGAGUGGGGAAUUCCUAGUGUAGCGGUGAAAUGCGCAGAUAUUAGGAGGAACACCGGUGGCGAAGGCGCCACUCUGGGCCGAAACUGACGCUGAGGAGCGAAAGCGUGGGUAGCAAACAGGAUUAGAUACCCUGGUAGUCCACGCCGUAAACGUUGGGCACUAGGUGUGGGUUUCAACCAACGAGAUCCGCGCCGUCGCUAACGCAUUAAGUGCCCCGCCUGGGGAGUACGGCCGCAAGGUUAAAACUCAAAGGAAUUGACGGGGGCCCGCACA
RNAcentral lists this ribosomal RNA (423 nucleotides) under uncultured bacterium. RNAcentral's name for it is "bacterial SSU rRNA". It matches the Rfam family "Bacterial small subunit ribosomal RNA", at positions 508 to 927 of the family's 1533-position model. The record is from RNAcentral.